CUUUCUGUAAAUCUGCCUUUCCAAUAAAAAUGAAUACAUCUUUUUUUUUUUUUUUUUUUUUUUUUUUAAGAAUAGGACUAGUGAAGAAUAAUGUAGGUUGGAGGUCCAAUGAUUAGGAUAUAUAGGGACUUGAACGCCAAAUUAAAGAGGAUGGACUUUACUCAACCAAGCAAUCAGGAGCUAUUGAAAAUUUAUGGACUUUUCAAACUGGUUUAUUGUGAUCUAGUUCACCCAUUUAAAAUGUGCGAUUGAGUGGUCUUUAAUAUGUUCACAGUUUUGCAGUUUUAAGGAAUACUGGUCAGUUGCUGUGCAGAGAACUCCACAUUUGGCUUCUGUGAUGUUUUUUCAUGUUACAUUGAAAUGCUGCUGAACAGCCAGGAGAGCACAGGAUCUGUGGUACAUGGUCAUUGUUUCCAGGGGUUACAAGAUGAUGGUGUUAUCCCUGCUAAUGGUAACCUUGACUCCGGUGAUACCUGCCAGAUUUAUCCGCUGUUAAAUUAGUUUUAACCUUUGUA
Ochotona curzoniae (black-lipped pika) is the source of this 515-nucleotide long non-coding RNA. RefSeq lists it as uncharacterized. The transcript has 2 exons. Lineage: Eukaryota; Metazoa; Chordata; Mammalia; Lagomorpha; Ochotonidae. The record is from RefSeq and is a predicted model, not a curated record.